GGCUCCUUCCUGGCCGAAUAGGGGACCGGCAGUCCCCUUCUUUGCCGGGCCAUUCAGACCGCGGCCGCCACGGCGGAGGCCGGCGGCAGAGGGGAGCCACUCCCCCGGCUACGGAGAGACAUGACCGGCGGUCGAUUGCGAUCGCCAGCGCGGCGCCAGAAAAUUCAAAGAAAAGAGGCCAAAACAGGGGUAUCUUUUUCGACCAAGAAUCGGCGACUCCCGUUGCCGGCAGCCGCGCACAAAGGCACGGGAGGAAGGGGAA
Molecule: long non-coding RNA, 262 nt
Filed under: Elaeis guineensis (African oil palm)
Lineage: Eukaryota; Viridiplantae; Streptophyta; Magnoliopsida; Arecales; Arecaceae
Description: long non-coding RNA (EGUI_LNC000732)
Source: RNAcentral